This is a long non-coding RNA of Melopsittacus undulatus (budgerigar), 367 nucleotides long. RefSeq lists it as uncharacterized. The transcript has 3 exons. The record is from RefSeq and is a predicted model, not a curated record. NCBI's taxonomy places the organism in Eukaryota, Metazoa, Chordata, Aves, Psittaciformes, Psittaculidae.
UAAUGCACUGCCUUUACAGUUCUGGGACCUGCUUUUAAAACACUCCCAUCACAGGAUAAAACUUGUCUUGGAGGACUACAAGGAGAUCUUUGAGGCUUUGCCAUUCCCAGACAAGCAGAGAAUUACCGAUAUCUUUGAUACCAUCCCCAUGACUGUCGCUGGUGUGGUGGGUUACCUGGAGUCAUCUUCUCCAUAUCAAACCUUUAUGAAGAGUGACCCUGAAGCCGCGAAAUCCCUUCUCCAAGAGGCAGAAAAGAGGAUGCUGGAGGUGAUGGGAGUUUCUUCUCGUGAGACCCCAGUGGAGCUCUGGGUGAGGCACGUCUGUGUGCUGGGAUGCAAGGCACAGUGAGAGGAAGCCUGUCCCCUG